AGGGACGAGAGAGAGAGUUGUGGUUGUGGCACUGGAAGCAGCGGCCAUUGAAGAGAAAUCGAUUGACGAAAUUGGUUUUCAACAAAGGUUUUCGGUCUUAUCGUUCAUUUUUUCCUCGCUUGCCUUGCCUGGUUAGUGUAGUAUCUCCUCCAGAGAGAAAGAGAAAGAGAAAGAGAGCCAUAAAUUGAUUGAGAUUUUUUGUCAAAUACAUCAUGCGGUGAAACCUAUUACGCCCGUAUUACAUCAUCUGUCUUAUCAAAUAGGACGCGAAAGCAAUAUAUGUGGGGCAGAAUGGCUGUCCCCAGUGGCUCUAAAGCAAUAUGUACCCAGUGGCUCCAAGGCAAUGUCGAGUUGUUGUCAGAAGAAUCACUGGUUACAAAGAGUCUGGGCUUGGAAGGCUUUACUUAUCACACUAAAAAAUCUUUUGCAGCUUCACUCUGUUUUCGCACCUCCAUAAAGAUUAGGAUCUGUUUGAUAGUAGACAACAUCUCCAGUAUCAUUUACAUAGUGAUCUUGUUUCAUGCUUCUUAUAAGACUUCCCAGUAAGUGAAAUGGAAAAGGUCCAGAUUUCUUUGGUUCCCUGUAGUAUUUCCCUAGCACAGGCUUAGCUGCUUCAGUCUGUAAAAGGUAAGUGUGGAAUCACUAGAACCAGAAGAAAAUGAACUGCAAAAUUAAGUAAUAAUUAAGGAAAAAGUUUAUAUUUACUGCUUCAAUUAAGUGGUAGUGUGGGAUUUGAGGGAAGAGAUGAUGAAUCACAUGAGUGCCAAUAUCAUGGUGGAUGUUGUUUAUCCAUCCAUAGUCUCUAUCAAGAGUACUAAGCCCUCCUCUCAGAUAACUCCAUUCCUUUCCACGAUACCAGGGAAGUUUGUCUUCAUGACCAUGGUGAUGCAAAUACGUUACAAAGUCCAACCACAUGACAAAAAUCCAGUAGGGAAUGCCAUAGAGUUUAAGCAUUUGGACAGGACCCAUUGCAAAGUUUAAGCACACAAGCAAUGCAGCCAUUGCUGUCCAACAGGCUGUUGAGGUAAGAAUCUCUUUUCUCUCAUUUGGGACAAACAAAUCACUGUCUGGAUGAAAAUGAGAACCCUUUUUUCCAGGGCUUCUACUCCACAGAUAGAAAGGGUAGGCAAGCAUGGGGAAAGGCAAAGUGAACCUCAAUGUCUUUGUGGCAUUAUCCAAACUGUUGAAGAUUUUCCUAGACAAUGGAUGCCAUGAUUCAUCAUUUUCAACAUGUCCAUGCUUUUGAUGAUGGGUUCUGUGGCUAAUUCUCCAUCCAUGGUAAGGAACAAGGAUUGUAGAAUGAAGGAGAUGACCCACAACACUAUUCAGCUUUGGAUUAUUUGAGAAGCUUCCAUGACCACAAUCAUGGCCAAGAACAAAAAGAGCCCAGAACAUGGUCCCUUGACAAAACCAGUAAAGAGGCCAAACAACCCAAUUGUUGAAGUAAGCAGCAACAGCAGCCAAUCCAAAAACCAAAGCCACAUCUCUCACAACGUAGCUCACAGAUCUCCAUGGAUCUUUAACCCAACAAUGUUUUGGUAUGGCUGCUCUUAUAUCAGCCAAUUUAAAAGGUGGCGGAGCACCUGGGUCAAAGAAUUCACCUUCCUCCUCAUUAACUCCAGUAAUUUCCUCUCUUUCUUUAUCCUCCUCUCCGCCCACAGUUUUAACAUUUACAGGAGCUGCAACAUUUAAUGCCCAGUUCCUCUUUUUAUACCAAUUUGAGACCUUGAAAGAACCAAGAUUCUGGCUUUUUGAGACUGGUAAUGGUCUGAGCUUGAAAAAAUUGGUGUUCUUUGAUGCAAAGCCAGUACUGGGUUGAGGGUAAAUUCUAGGGAGGGGUCUUAUGCCACAUUCGGAUAAAACCCAGGAAGCAGCCAUUGAAGAACCAGAUACUGAUAAUGCAAGUAUCCACCCACACCCAGUCUAUGGAUUAUAAAAAGAAAGAAAAAGGUAAGUACCCAAAAUUGGAAAUAAAGAAGAGGAAGAGAUAACACAUGGAAGGACUCUGAUUAAAAAAAAAAAGAUAACACAAGGAUUUCUCUCCUCCACUGUCUUGUCUACCUCUAUCUGUAUGCAGUACAUUUAUACAUGUAUAUAUAACCGCGUUUCUCUCUCUGUCUCUCUCUCUACCCUAUGCUCCUCUGGUAAUAUGGUGGUGCGUGGUGCUGGCUAAGUGGCUUUCCUGUACGUCAGUACGUGAGCCUAACAAUUUGGC
RNAcentral lists this unclassified non-coding RNA (2215 nucleotides) under Hevea brasiliensis (rubber tree). Lineage: Eukaryota; Viridiplantae; Streptophyta; Magnoliopsida; Malpighiales; Euphorbiaceae. The record is from RNAcentral.